UACAGUCUUUGGGGCAGGGUGUGAUUCCCUACCGGCGGUAUAGCCCGCGAGCCGUUUUGGCAUGACACGGUGAGAUUCCGUGGCCGACAGUAUAGUCUGGAUGAGAAAAGACUUGU
RNAcentral lists this non-coding RNA (116 nucleotides) under Anaerovibrio lipolyticus. RNAcentral's name for it is "FMN sequence". It matches the Rfam family "FMN riboswitch aptamer (RFN element)". Rfam says of the family: The RFN element is a highly conserved domain that is found frequently in the 5'-untranslated regions of prokaryotic mRNAs that encode for flavin mononucleotide (FMN) biosynthesis and transport proteins. The record is from Rfam by way of RNAcentral. Lineage: Bacteria; Bacillati; Bacillota; Negativicutes; Selenomonadales; Selenomonadaceae.